UCCACCACUCCUGACUGACACCGGGGAGAAGGGGGCACAGAUGGGGGGAGGGAAACGCCCAGGCGCUUUUGCCAAACUCUGCACAUCCGCCCAGGGAGGCCUGGAGGCCUGGGUAGGGGAGAAGGGCCCGCGGUCUAGGGGCUCUGCAGGUCGGAGGGAGGGGGCAACGACUAGUUAGUAGUAGUUAAAAAGGAGGAGAGCGACCGCUGCACUUGAGCCCCUGCUCUGGGCCUCCGGCCCCAACUCUCGGGAGUGGUCGCCCGGCUCAGGCCCCGACACCCAGCGCGCACCACGCGGCUCCAGGCCCUGGGUGAGGGGCAGCGCCCGGGAACCCGCGCCGGGAACUUGGGCACGCCCCAUAGAGAGGGCGCCUGGAAUUUUCGAUGACGAGGCCCAGGUAGGGCCCCAUGGCCGGUGCAGCGCCCAGGGAUUUUUCGUCCGCAUCCGCGGUACCGGGAGCUGGGACCGGCUGCCGUUAAAGGAAACGUCUAGGAAGAGGGAGCAGCAGGGACAUUUCUGAGAGCCAAAGGGGGCUCACCGAGCAUGACUCGUGACGACAGCAGACCACCAGGAGCAUAGGACUGCCCUAACCAUAGCCCCCUUUCUACCGCUAUAAAUACAUGAAACAUAGCCAGCGCCGGGCUUGGGCCGCGUCAGUGGAAGGUGCCAAAGGGACACUGAAGGGCCUUCUCUUCCUCGUUCCAGCGCUUUUCUUCUGGCUCCUACAGCACAGCUGCCGGUGGGCGGCUUCCAGUCAGAUUUUGCCAUCGCCCAGCACACAGUUUCCCACUUGCCAACCCCAGCCUGCAGCACCUCAGCAAACUUCUCUGCCAUCCAGCGGGCCCCCACCACGCCCCCACCAAUGAAGAAACUGAGGCACACAGAGGUUACCUAAGUAAGUGGUAGAGCCAGUAUUCAAAUACAGAUUGUAUUCCUCAGGAGUCCAUGCCCUCAACACGCUACAGAGUACAGUGCUAUGUUUGCUGGAGAAAGAGACCCAUGAGGGAUCACCCUCAACAGAGGCACUAAUCAGGGCUCACAGAGGCCCCACGUGAUGGUGGCCAAAGCGUUCUAACUUGAAAUAUGGGAAAGACCGCAUAGAACUAUAACCCCUAGAGAGAUGAAAACUGGGAUCCAGGUAUGCUGGGGCACCCACAUAAAUGCCCAAAGCCCUCCUGCUGAGAAGAUGGGGUAGUUCCUUUGGCAGUUCUGGCAACAGUUGAAUCCAAACCUACUGGGCCAGGUACAGGAUGGCAGGUCUUAGAGACUAAGCACAGAUAAUGAUGGGGUCUUCCCUUUGAGACGGGGAAGGAAGAGUCUUAGCAGAAUCAGCCUUGGAACUCUGGGGUUUCUCUAACAUUCAGGGCUGUCCUUAGGUCAAAACUUUGGAGUGAAUAGGAAAACUCACCCUGUGUAGUUGAAGAAAGAUAAGGAACUGGAGUAAAACAACCUUUGUGCAUAUCUCUGUUUAGCCAACAAUUGACUGUCUUCAGUAAUAUUUCUUUACACGUAUACACCACAGUUGGUUAGCCAUUCUCCUAUUAAUGGACAUCUUGGGUUAUUUCCUGUUUGGAACUAUUAUUUUAAAAAAAGCUGCUAGGAGCACUCUUGUACAAGUCCUUUUGUUUUAAUUUCUUUUCAGUAAAUACAGGAGUGGGGUUGCUGGGUCAUAAGAUAGGUUUUUUUAUAGCUUUUUUUUUUUAAACUAUUUAUUGGCUGCAUUGGGUCUUCAUUGCUGCGCAUGGGCUUUCUCUAGUUGUGGUGAGUGGGGGCUACUCUUCGUUGUGGUGCGCUGCCUUCUCAUUGCAGUAGCUUCUCUUGCUGCAGAGCAUGGGCUCUAGGCAGGUGGGCUUCAGUAGUUGUGGCAUGUGGGCUCAAUAGUUGUGGCUCACGGGCUUAGUUGCUCUGUGGCAUGUGGGAUCUUCCCGGACCAGGGAUCAAACCCGUGUGCCCUGUAUUGGCAGGCGGAUUCUUAACCACUGCACCACCAGGGAAGCCCUGUAUAGCUUUUUUAAAGCAUUUUUAAAUUGUGUAAUAUACAUAACGUAAAAUUUGCCAUCUUAACCAUUUUAAGUGUACAAUUCGGAGAGUUCCCUGGUGGUCCAGUGGUUAGGGCUCGGAGCUUUCACUGUUAUGGCCCAGGUUCAAUCCCUGGUUGUGGAUCCCGCAAGCCAUGCAGUGCAGCCACAAAAAAAGAGUACAGUUCAGUGGCAUUAAGUACAUUUUUAUUGUUGUGCAACUAUUAGCACUACCCAUCUCCAGAACUUUUUCAUCAUCCCAACCUGAAAAUUGGUACCAAUGAAACAGCAAACUCUCCAUCCCCCUCCCCUCAGCUCCUGGUAACCUUUGUUCUACUUUCUGUCUCUACAAGUUUGACUAUCCUAUCAUAUAAGUGGAAUCAUACAACAUUUAUCCUUUUGUGUCUGGCUUAUUUCAGUUAGCAUAAUGUUUUCAAGAUUUAUCCAUGUUGCAGCAUGUGUCAACAUUU
Long non-coding RNA from Hippopotamus amphibius kiboko, 2488 nucleotides. RefSeq lists it as uncharacterized. The transcript has 4 exons. NCBI's taxonomy places the organism in Eukaryota, Metazoa, Chordata, Mammalia, Artiodactyla, Hippopotamidae. The record is from RefSeq and is a predicted model, not a curated record.